UACCCUACGGGAGGCAGCAGUAGGGAAUCUUCCACAAUGGGCGAAAGCCUGAUGGAGCAACGCCGCGUGGGUGAAGAAGGUCUUCGGAUCGUAAAACCCUGUUGUUAGAGAAGAAAGUGCGUGAGAGUAACUGUUCACGUUUCGACGGUAUCUAACCAGAAAGCCACGGCUAACUACGUGCCAGCAGCCGCGGUAAUACGUAGGUGGCAAGCGUUAUCCGGAUUUACUGGGUGUAAAGGGCGUGCAGCCGGGAAGACAAGUCAGAUGUGAAAUCCCGCGGCUCAACCGCGGAACUGCAUUUGAAA
Molecule: ribosomal RNA, 305 nt
Filed under: uncultured bacterium
Lineage: Bacteria
Description: bacterial SSU rRNA
Rfam family: Bacterial small subunit ribosomal RNA
Source: RNAcentral